RNAcentral lists this long non-coding RNA (1288 nucleotides) under Oreochromis niloticus (Nile tilapia). Its description in RNAcentral is "lncRNA (ENSONIG00000024786.2)". Lineage: Eukaryota; Metazoa; Chordata; Actinopteri; Cichliformes; Cichlidae. The record is from RNAcentral.
UUAUGUCUAAAAGGUAUUGCACAAUCACCUCUAGUAGAGGAUCAGGUUUGUUUUCCACUGAUAAUGGAUUUUAACAUGACUGACCAAUGAUUGCACGUCCAUGUUGGAUCUUAUAAAUACAACGAGCAAACUUCAAUGUUUUAAAAUGUUCAAAACUUAAGAUAUUAUAUUUCUGAAGUAUGACGGAAGGAAAAAGUUACAUUAUUUCAUAUUUUAAAAAAAUCCAAUUUCAUAUGAUCAAAUUUAUGUCAAAAAGUUCAUAUUUAUUCCCUCCUAUGUCAUGUGUGAGUACUGUACUGUAAAUGUCAUGGAUAUCAGAUGACACUGAUAACCUAAUGCUAAUUGCAAUAACUAUGCAGAGGUCUCUAGGCCUCGACUUUUAUGGAGCAUGUGAAGUUUGGGGCAGAGUGGACAAAGAAAAGUUUCUCAGCAGGUUCAACAGGUUGCUACAACACAGGCCGAUGAAGUAUUGCACUCACUCAUCCAAAGUGGCAAACAUGUAACAUACACCCUAAGACUGAUGCUGCUUUUUACUCCUUAGUUAUGAUUUAAUCUGAUAUUCUGUAGCCUUGGAGACAGUUUGCAUAGAUUAGAAUGUUAGAUUCCUGUGAUGUCAUCGAUGCCCAUGUUUUGUUUUAAUGUCUUGUGAUAGUUCUAACUGCAUACAAAGUCAGAGUUCAAGUGAGUUUAGUACAAAGAGUACAAUUUUGAACCAGUUCCUGACAUGUCGUCAAAAUCUUGGCUGACCUUUACCACACCACGUGCUGUGGGUGUGCGUAAAUAUCUAGACCGCCACACUGAGCCCUGGUUCCUCAGGAUAGAGGACAGGACGUCAGAUGGGCGAAUCAAGAGCUCCAAACGAAAAGAUUGUGCCACAGAAAGACUGGAAAAAGCUUCCAAAAGAAGCAAAGACAGCAAAAGUCCAACCCCAGGCCUCAGCCAUCUUGUCUUGGAGAAGUGUAAGUGAGACAUUCAGAGAGAUUAUGUUUUGUUUUCUAGUUAUUGAUCAUCUGUAGGCCUGUGUGGAGUUCAGAGGUCUAAUUGGUUUUUGGUUUUCCAGCUGCUUUCAGAAAGAAGAGCAGCAAACGAAAGUCAAGCAGCGAUGGAACAAAACAACCACGCAGUAAAAAGAGCAAGACAUCAAGCUCACAGGAGGAGGCCAGCUGCUCCGUCUUUGAGGCAGAUACACCUUUGCCCAGCACAUACAAAAGUCACAGUAUAGGUAAGAAGUACACACCACACCUGCAGUGAUAGAGCCUCUUUCCCAAGCUCUCAGAGUUUAGCUGGU